GAUGAACGCUAGCGGCAGGCUUAAUACAUGCAAGUCGAGGGACAGCACAGGUAGCAAUACUGGGUGGUAACCGGCAAACGGGUGCGGAACACGUACACAACCUUCCUUUAAGUGGGGGAUAGCCCAGAGAAAUUUGGAUUAAUACCCCGUAAUAUAGUUGAAUGGCAUCAUUUGAUUAUUAUAGCUACGGCGCUUAAUGAUGGGUGUGCGGCUGAUUAGAUAGUUGGCGGGGUAACGGCCCACCAAGUCUACGAUCAGUAGCUGAUGUGAGAGCAUGAUCAGCCAAACGGGCACUGAGACACGGGCCCGACUCCUACGGGAGGCAGCAGUAAGGAAUAUUGGUCAAUGGACGCAAGUCUGGACCCGCCAUGCCGCGUGAAGGAUUAAGGUCCUCUGGAUUGUAAACUUCUUUUAUUUGGGACGAAAAAGGGCCUUUCUAGGUCAACUGACGGUACCAGAUGAAUAAGCACCGGCUAACUCCGUGCCAGCCGCCGCGGUAA
This 500-nucleotide ribosomal RNA is filed under the name uncultured bacterium. RNAcentral describes it as "partial 16S ribosomal RNA". It matches the Rfam family "Bacterial small subunit ribosomal RNA", at positions 28 to 523 of the family's 1533-position model. The record is from RNAcentral.